This 434-nucleotide ribosomal RNA is filed under the name uncultured bacterium. RNAcentral describes it as "partial 16S ribosomal RNA". It matches the Rfam family "Bacterial small subunit ribosomal RNA", at positions 29 to 507 of the family's 1533-position model. The record is from RNAcentral.
AGCGAACGCUGGCGGCAGGCCUAACACAUGCAAGUCGAACGAACCUUUCGGGGUUAGUGGCGGACGGGUGAGUAACACGUGGGAACGUGCCCUUAGGUUCGGAAUAACUCAGGGAAACUUGUGCUAAUACCGAAUGUGCCCUUCGGGGGAAAGAUUAAUCGCCUUUAGAGCGGCCCGUGUCUGAUUAGCUAGUUGGUUGAGGUAAUGGCUCACCAAAGCGACGAUCAGUAGCUGGUCUGAGAGGAUGAUCAGCCACAUUGGGACUGAGACACGGCCCAAAAUCCUACGGGAGGCAGCAGUGGGGAAUCUUGCGCAAUGGGGGAAAGCCUGACGCAGCCAUGCCGGGUGAAUGAUGAAGGUCUUAGGAUAGUAAAAUUCUUUCACCGGGGACGAUAAUGACGGUACCCGGAGAAGAAGCCCCGGCUAACUUCGUG